RNAcentral lists this unclassified non-coding RNA (329 nucleotides) under soil metagenome. RNAcentral describes it as "partial contains 5.8S ribosomal RNA, internal transcribed spacer 2, and large subunit ribosomal RNA". The stretch from base 1 to 120 matches the Rfam family "5.8S ribosomal RNA", at positions 35 to 154 of the family's 154-position model. The record is from RNAcentral.
GAUGAAGAACGCAGUGAAAUGCGAUAAGUAGUGUGAAUUGCAGAAUUCCGUGAAUCAUCGAAUCUUUGAACGCACAUUGCGCCCCUUGGUAUCCCGAGGGGCAUGCCUGUUCGAGCGUCAUUUCACCACUCAAGCCUGGCUUGGUGUUGGGCGACGUCCCCUUUAGGGACGCGCCUCGAAACGCUCGGCGGCGUGGCACCGGCUUUAAGCGUAGCAGAAUCUUUCGCUUUGGAAGUCGGGGCACCGCCUGCCGGAAUACCUACUCGUAAGGUUGACCUCGGAUCAGGCAGGGAUACCCGCUGAACUUAAGCAUAUCAAUAAGCGGAGGA